RNAcentral lists this transfer RNA (68 nucleotides) under Entiminae sp. ACP-2013. RNAcentral describes it as "tRNA-Ser". Lineage: Eukaryota; Metazoa; Arthropoda; Insecta; Coleoptera; Curculionidae. The record is from RNAcentral.
AGAAAAACGAAAAAUCAGGAUAAAGCUUCUAACUUUUUUCCUAAGCGGCGCACCUCCGUUUGUUUUUC